This is a long non-coding RNA of Glossina fuscipes, 3088 nucleotides long. RefSeq lists it as uncharacterized. The record is from RefSeq and is a predicted model, not a curated record. NCBI's taxonomy places the organism in Eukaryota, Metazoa, Arthropoda, Insecta, Diptera, Glossinidae. The transcript has 2 exons.
CCAUCUAGCUUAAUAGCUAAAACUAAUUAUAUAGGAUAUAUAUAAGCUUUUCCCAAUUUCAAAGAAUGAAAGAAUGAACGAAAGAAACAAGCGUAGGAAGAGAACGUAACAUACAUCAAAAUUCUAUCAGCUUACUUCACUUUAAACAUGGCAACCUGUAUGCAGUAUCGCGUUCAUAUCUCUGAGUGUAAAAAGAAUUGUGAUUAUAAUAUGCCUCAAUAUUUGUAGUGAAUGUUUCUAUUAAAGGUACGCAAGCAGCAGCGUCGCAACAGAGUAUCUCCGCAGCACAUAAACUAUCUAAGAGUUGUUAAGUUUAACUCUCUUUGCAGCUUUUGGAGCGAACGUUAGCGUUGUCAAGCUCUGCUGGUUUUUCAAAGAAAUAGCUUACGCAGUUUCUUUUUCGCUCGUUCUCUUUCUACCACCUCUCUAACUAACACACUGGCUCUCUCUCUCUCUCUCUCUCUCUUUCUCUCUCUGCAUCUUUAUUGCGCUGACAAGCGUUGGCUGCUGAAAUAUCUGCACAUUUUGUAUUUUAUAAAAUUAGUACUCUUUUUGUACUUGAAUUGAAAAGGUAAAAGAUCGGGUAAAUAGUGCAGUUGUAGAAACACAUAUAUAGAAAACGUUAGCAAAAAAAAGUGUAUCUGAAAUAAAUAUAAAUAAAUCUGUAUGUGUUUGUAUGUAAAUACACAUAUAAGGCAAGAGAGAGAAAGAGAGAUCAUUUGUAAUACACAACAACGAAAUCGAGGGAUUAAGCAACAACAACAACUAAUACAAUUGCAAUUAAAACAAGAUAGAAGGAAAGAAAAGAAGAAAUUGAAACGACGGAUACGGCGAGACGAGAAGAGAAGAAGAAUUCAAUACAAACUUCAAGUGGAAAAACUUAUUUGUAAUAUCUUUUGUGAUUGUGUGCGUGAUUGCGUAUGUAUAUGCUGCUGCGUGUUGUUGUUAAACGACAGACAAAAGAAAGUUUACAAAAACCACAAUAAUAGCAACAUCAAGAACAACAACAACAACAAUAACAACAACAACAAGAAUAAUAACAGCUCCAAUUGGAUAUACAAUUAUUUUCUGCAUUAUUAUUACCUACGCUUCGCAGAUGGCUAGGUGUGUGUGAGAAUUCUUUUCGUAAAUUUUCAAAUUAAUUAAAUGAUUUGCUUGCAUUUCCGUUUCGCGUGUUUAACGAUAGCUUACAAGAAAAAGAAAAAACAACAAAUUUCAAGUAAAGAAAGAAAAGAACGAAAUAUGUGUUAAAAAUUCCGUAAUUAAAAUAUGUAGGAAACAAAAAAAAAAAAAGAGUAGAGAUCCCUUAAAUAGAGAAAUUACUGUAGCAAAAAACAUUAGUGAAAGUGUACAAAAAAAAUUUUCUUUUGUUAAUAAAAUUCAAGGUAAUUGUAAAUUUUGUUGUAAGUUUGAAAAGAAAAUUUAUGGGGGAAAAAAAAAAAACUUUAAUUUUCGCAAACAAGCACAAGAAACUUGUUUGUAAAAUAAUUUUAAUGUAUACAUAUGUUCAUGUGUGUGUUUGUGUGUGUGUGUGUGUAUGUUAGCAUGAUGAUGGCAACAAAUUGUUGCCUAACAGGUCUGCUGCAAUUGAAGUAACCUCAGCUAUUUCUUUUUUCGUUUUACAACACAUUCUGUAAGGCUCCCAUUUAUAUACACUCAACCUCCUUCAAACUCCCUCCCUCCCAACAACAAUCUCAUUACAUGCAAUCGCAAGUCAUGUUUUUUGUUUUUUUGUUGUUUUUUUUUCCUUUUUGUAAUUUCUCUUGUAUUCUUACUUGACUUACGUCUUCUCUGUGAAAAUAUUCUUAUAAGUUGCCUCCAUCUCUAUGAGCAAAAAUUUCCUAAGCAUGUGUUUCAAUUUGUUUACUUUUCUUCUCUCAGUUAGAUAGAUAGAGAGAGAGAGAGAAAGAUAGGUUUUAGUGUUUUCUAAGCUCAGCGCAUAUUCAAUAAUGUGGAUAUUGUUUAUCAUUGUUUAUAGAUUUUCAACCCAAUAAGAUACCCAUAGAAUAGAAUAACUCAACUUAACUCAUAGCUUAUAAAAUCCAUGAGAGAAUAACAGUUGAAUAGAAUCCAAAAGUAUAAAAUAAAGAGUUAUUUGUUACUUACAUAUACAUAUACAUAUAUAUAUAUAGAGCAUUUAGAGCGAAGAGAGGAUUUUCUUUUCAAAAUCCCAACCACCCACUAUCAAAAUAAAUAUUAUAAACCUAAGUGAAUUGUUGGCUGUGUGCUGUAUGGUUAGGUUUGUGUGACUUGCGUUUUAACGUGAACGACGACGAACAAGAAUCAAAUGACGCUUAAACUUUGUUUUCUUUUUGCCGUAAUUGACAUUCGUUUGUGCGGCGUCAACUAAAACUCAUCAUCCACACUUAGAGCGGCGGGCAAGACAUAUUAACAAUAAAAAAAGGCAGCAAUAAAUCCAAGUGUUAUCCAAAAAAAAAAAAAAAAAAAAUAGAAAAGAAAAGAAAAGAAAAAAUAACAAGAAAAGUGUAUUUCAGUAAUUUAUCUAUUCAUUCUCUUAUUAAUAUAUAAUCCAUGUAUACGUUUAUAUAUAGAUAUAUAUGUAUAUAUAAAUAUAUAUGUAAAAGUCACUCCACUGAAUUGAAACUGAAAUAGAUAAACUUUAGAAUCGAAAACUUGUUAAAAGUUAUCUCUCGCAUCAGCUUAGCAUUGAAAAAAUUAUCAGACAAGUGUGUUUUACGAACAGAGUCAAUACAAUUUUGUUGUAAAUGGCGAUAAUCCUCACGUAAAACGUGUUUUAUUUCAUUUUUGAUUGAAGCAAACAAGAAAAAAAAAAAAGGCAAGAAAGCGAGUUAUUUGUCGACGUAGCCAAACCAUGUCCAUGUCCGUGCAAAUCUAUGAAAAAGAAAAGUGAAAAAGCAAAAAAAAAAAAGAAAUCUUGAAAUAAUUUUAUGAAAAGUUCCUCGCACGAAAAUUUACAAUUGUUGUGUUUGUGCAUAAGUGUGUAUAACUGAUUUUGACAUAUAUAAAGCAUUGGAGAGAGCAAAAAAGAAAACUAAUGAAAUUUCGCAAUAGCAACAGCAACAGCAGUAUAUGUAUGAAAGGAAACUCUAAAGAGCAACAAAAAAAA